This 916-nucleotide long non-coding RNA is filed under the name Homo sapiens (human). RNAcentral describes it as "HSALNT0141669". The record is from RNAcentral. Lineage: Eukaryota; Metazoa; Chordata; Mammalia; Primates; Hominidae.
CUUUAAAUGAAAGGGUUGAGUAUACAAGAAUAUCAAUAAGUUCCAAUUGAAGAGCGGAUUCUUUUGCAAUUCAGGCAUGUGCCGGCGAUAACGGGCGAGUUGGCAUGAAGAGAGGCAGAGAUGGAUUAAUUAUGCAGAGAACAUGGAAAUUCUGCUUAUCAUCGGCUAGCAAAGGAGCCCGGCUCACAUAAUCAGCAAACGAAGGGAGAGGAAAAAAUAACAAUGCAAUGGCACCUUCCAGCCCAUCAUCAGGAUUUUUUCUACCCCCUUGUAAUUAAAAAAUAACAUACACUUAUAGCCCUAUCUCCUGUGCAGGCAAGGAGUGGAUGUCCACAAAAUAAUUGCACUGGGAUAUUAGAGCUGGCGACACGGGCUGUCCAUUCCGGCUUGCUCUCCUGCUCACCCUCUCUUUCUCUUUUGGCCUCUCAGGCACUUUGCUUCUGAACCCAGUCCAAAUCAGAGAGACGUCUCAGGUGACAUUCAAGCUCGGUUUCCAAAAAUCCCAAAUUGGUACCUUAUCAUGAUCCAAGCAAACAUACAUACAUAUAUGAUAAAUAUUUGGAGGGCUGACUCUAGAGGAGGCUUUGGAACUGAUCACCUGUGGACUAUCUGGUCAGUUUCAUUUUUUAUGAAACAUGUCCAAAUAGCCUUCAUUUUGCAAAGUGGCUGGAUUAAAAUGGUGGCUGUGCAACGGCUGUGCUAUCUUCUCAAAUCAUUUAACUUACCUACAAGUUUUUGUUUCUAUUCCCUUUGCCAACUCAUUUUAUAAAUGUUAAGUUAAUGAUUGCAAUGUCUGCACCUCAAAAUCAGAAUUCGCAAUUCUGUAUUGUCAUUGUAAAAUCUGACAGCUCAAUGCCUUGUAUUUCUCUAAAUGCCAAAAGACUACAAUAAACCUAGUUUAUUGCUUUAAAGAAAA